UGAGGAAUAUUGGGCAAUGCCCGCAAGGGUGACCCAGCAACGCCGCGUGGAGGAUGAAUGUCGUAAGAUUGUAAACUCCUGUUAGAGGGGAAGAAUAGUACCGGUUGGACCGGUAUAUGACUGUACCCUCAGAGUAAGCCCCGGCUAACUACGUGGCAGCAGCCGCGGUAAUACGUAGGGGGCAAGCGUUGUCCGGAUUUACUGGGUGUAAAGGGCGCGCAGGCGGGAUAAAAAGUCAGUGGUGAAAUCCUACAGCUUAACUGUAGAACUGCCUUUGAUACUUUUAUGCUUGAGUUCGGGAGAGAGAGACGGAAUUCCAGGUGUAGUGGUGAAAUACGUAGAUAUCUGGAAGAACACCAGUUGCGAAGGCGGUCUCUUGGUCCGACACUGACGCUGAGGCGCGAAAGCGUGGGGAGCAAACA
Molecule: ribosomal RNA, 422 nt
Filed under: uncultured bacterium
Lineage: Bacteria
Description: bacterial SSU rRNA
Rfam family: Bacterial small subunit ribosomal RNA
Source: RNAcentral